CAGAGUGCAUCAGCGGCAAUCCCCACUUUGGGGUAGUGGGGGUCGUGGGUUCGAAUCCCGCCGCUCCGA
This 69-nucleotide transfer RNA is filed under the name Thalassoporum mexicanum PCC 7367. Its description in RNAcentral is "tRNA-Ser (CGA) (tRNA-Ser-CGA-2-1)". Lineage: Bacteria; Bacillati; Cyanobacteriota; Cyanophyceae; Pseudanabaenales; Thalassoporaceae. The record is from RNAcentral.